UACGAAGGGGGCUAGCGUUGCUCGGAAUCACUGGGCGUAAAGGGCGCGUAGGCGGCCAAGUAAGUUGGGGGUGAAAGCCCUCAGCUCAACUGAGGAAGUGCGCCCGAAACUGCAUUGCUUGAGUACCGGAGAGGAUGGCGGAAUUCCCGAAGUAGAGGUGAAAUUCGUAGAUAUCGGGAGGAACACCGGUGGCGAAGGCGGCCAUCUGGACGGAUACUGACGCUGAGACGCGAAAGCGUGGGUAGCAAACAGG
This 253-nucleotide ribosomal RNA is filed under the name uncultured bacterium. Its description in RNAcentral is "partial 16S ribosomal RNA". It matches the Rfam family "Bacterial small subunit ribosomal RNA", at positions 524 to 776 of the family's 1533-position model. The record is from RNAcentral.